Molecule: long non-coding RNA, 348 nt
Organism: Pundamilia nyererei
Lineage: Eukaryota; Metazoa; Chordata; Actinopteri; Cichliformes; Cichlidae
Exons: 3
Source: RefSeq, a predicted model, not a curated record
GCAGUGGCUCGUCUUUAGUUGUUCGCACUUCUAUGAUAAAGGAAAUGAUUGAGUGUCACAGGCGACACUGAAUAUUCCGAGGAGGUAUUUUUGCCCAAAAGCAGACAGAAGACGAAAGGCGUGAUUACAUCAACUAAUGGGCCACGUGGGGACACAACUGUGGAUAUUUGUACAAGAUGGAAGAAAAUAAAACUGAGCCAAGGAACCUAGUACAGAUUAUUUCUCAGUGUUGUCUGGUGAAGUUGAAGCACUGUGAACUAUGAGAUGCUUCCAGAAGAUAAAGUGCACGCUGAAAUGUUUGCUCUGGGUUCCGGCUGCACUCUGUGCUCUCUACUUCACAAGUCCAUC